UAAUUAAUAAAAGAAUGAAAAAUUAAAACUCACACACAUAGUGUGUGUGAGUCUGCGAUCGAACAGAGGGAGGGACAAGGUGAAAAACCUAGCUUUGUUAAUUCCAUCAAAUUGAGUAGAGAUUUCAAGGAUAAUCAGUUGCAUGACCCUAAAUUUCGAUCAUCCAAACGUACUCAGUAAAGUGGCGUAAAAGAAGAAAGCUCAAACGCUAGGAAAUUUGGAAAGCUCGCAAGAUCGAGGUAAAUCCUCAACAUAAUGGCUUGGCGACUUGGAACGAACACACAUGAAUCACGUCCACCAUGUGCUUCCGCUACUUUUGUAAUUAUGUUAUGGGUCAAAAAUACUUUUGUGGUAUAUAACUUUUGUUUAGUAGCUAGACUUUAAAGCUUAACAUGUUAUGUCUUUUGAAUGUGUCGUAGAAUUUCUUGAAAUGAUGAUUGUUAAAAACAGGGAACCGCUCAUGUUACGAACGGGUCAUGCCCAAUUUUUGUUAAAAAUAGUAUGUCAUUAAUAAUAUUUCCGAGUGUGCAUUAAGGGUGUUUCAAAUACUUUUGUUACAAAUAGUUUAUGUUUAGUUGUUAAGCUUUAAAUCUUAGUAUGCUAUGUCUUACGUAUAACCUAGCUGGUUACGAAUGUCUAAACAGAAUGGUUUUUGUAUGAACAAUUAUGUUUAUUUCUAAUGGUAUGUAAAAAGUUUAAACUGGGUCA
Long non-coding RNA from Helianthus annuus (common sunflower), 708 nucleotides. RefSeq lists it as uncharacterized. Lineage: Eukaryota; Viridiplantae; Streptophyta; Magnoliopsida; Asterales; Asteraceae. The record is from RefSeq and is a predicted model, not a curated record. The transcript has 3 exons.